Long non-coding RNA from Bufo gargarizans (Asiatic toad), 326 nucleotides. RefSeq lists it as uncharacterized. The transcript has 4 exons. NCBI's taxonomy places the organism in Eukaryota, Metazoa, Chordata, Amphibia, Anura, Bufonidae. The record is from RefSeq and is a predicted model, not a curated record.
AUCACAGGUCCUUCACCUAUUAGAAUAUGGGAGCUGCAGAGACGGGCCAGGACGGGAUUGCACAAUAGUGGACAUUGGGUAUUACUCCCAUCAUCCAUCUGAGAGCCUCCCCCUCACCCCCUAGUACAUGAGCAGAAGAUCCUAGGAGUCACCCACAAGAUCACUGAGCUGCUGACUAGAGAGGUUCCUGUAAGGUGUCAGGAUGUCCAUGGAGGACUGGGAGUAUAUAGAAGGACACUUGAUGGAGGACCACCGGCCCCUCACAUCACAGGAUGGAUCCAGGAGGAGAAAUCCCCCCGAGAGAUGUCCCCUUCCUCUGUAUUCCC